CCCUUAGAUGUUCUGGGCUGCACGCGCGCUACACUGAAGCGUUCAACGAGUAUUCACCUUGCCCGGGAGGGUUGGGUAAUCUUUUGAAAACGCUUCGUGAUGGGGAUAGAUUAUUGCAAUUAUUAAUCUUCAACGAGGAAUUCCUAGUAAGCGCGAGUCAUCAGCUCGUGCUGAUUACGUCCCUGCCCUUUGUACACACCGCCCGUCGCUCCUACCGAUUGAAUGGUCCGGUGAAAUCCUCGGAUCGAGCCGUGGGGCAACUCCGGUUCGAGAAGUUGAUUAAACCUUACCAUUUAGAGGAAGGUGAAGUCGUAACA
RNAcentral lists this ribosomal RNA (317 nucleotides) under uncultured eukaryote. RNAcentral's name for it is "partial 18S ribosomal RNA". It matches the Rfam family "Eukaryotic small subunit ribosomal RNA", at positions 1470 to 1796 of the family's 1831-position model. The record is from RNAcentral.